GGAAGUAAAAGUCGUAACAAGGUUUCCGUAGGUGAACCUGCGGAAGGAUCAUUAUUGAAAUAAACCUGAUAAGUUGUUGCUGGUUCUCUAGGGAGCAUGUGCACGCUUGUCAUCUUUGUAUCUUCACCUGUGCACCUUUUGUAGACCUGAGAAAUCUCUCUGAAUGCUUAUUUUGGCAUCCGGGAUUGAGGAUUGACUUGCUGUCUCUUCUUAUAUUUUCAGGUUUAUGUUUCUUCAUAUACCCUAAUGUAUGUUUAUAGAAUGUAAUCAAUAGGCCUUGUGCCUAUAAAACUAUAUAACUUUCAGCAACGGAUCUCUUGGCUCUCGCAUCGAUGAAGAACGCAGCGAAAUGCGAUAAGUAAUGUGAAUUGCAGAAUUCAGUGAAUCAUCGAAUCUUUGAACGCACCUUGCGCUCCUUGGUAUUCCGAGGAGCAUGCCUGUUUGAGUGUCAUUAAUAUAUAUCAACCUGUCUGGUUGGAUUUGGGUUUGCUGGCCUUUUGGGGUCAGCUCACCUUAAAUGUAUUAGCGGACAAUAUUUUGUGAACUGUUCAUUGGUGUGAUAAUUAUCUAUGCUAUUGAAUAUGAAGCAAGGUUCAGCUACUAACAGUCCAUUGACUUGGACAAAUUUAUUUUUAUUAAUGUGACCUCAAAUCAGGUAGGACUACCCGCUGAACUUAAGCAUAUCAAUAAGCGGAGGAAAAGAAACUAACGAGGAUUCCCCUAGUAACUGCGAGUGAAGCGGGAAAAGCUCAAAUUUAAAAUCUGGCAGUCUUUGGCUGUCCGAGUUGUAAUCUAGAGAAGUGUUAUCCGCGCUGGACCGUGUACAAGUCUCCUGGAAUGGAGCGUCAUAGAGGGUGAGAAUCCCGUCUGUGACACGGACUGCCAGGGCUUUUGUGAUGCGCUCUCAAAGAGUCGAGUUGUUUGGGAAUGCAGCUCAAAAUGGGUGGUAAAUUCCAUCUAAAGCUAAAUAUUGGCGAGAGACCGAUAGCGAACAAGUACCGUGAGGGAAAGAUGAAAAGAACUUUGGAAAGAGAGUUAAACAGUACGUGAAAUUGCUGAAAGGGAAACGCUUGAAGUCAGUCGCGUUGUCCAGGGAUCAACUCUUGCUUUUGCUUGGUGUACUUUCUGGUUAACGGGUCAGCAUCAAUUUUGACUAUUGGAAAAAGAUCAGGGGAAUGUGGCAUCUUUGGAUGUGUUAUAGCCUCUGGUUGCAUACAUUAGUUGGGAUUGAGGAACUCAGCACGCCGCAAGGCCGAGUUUUUAACUACGUACGUGCUUAGGAUGCUGGCAUAAUGGCUUUAAUCGACCCGUCU
This 1313-nucleotide ribosomal RNA is filed under the name Calonarius caroviolaceus. RNAcentral's name for it is "eukaryotic LSU rRNA". The stretch from base 642 to 1313 matches the Rfam family "Eukaryotic large subunit ribosomal RNA", at positions 1 to 654 of the family's 3401-position model. Lineage: Eukaryota; Fungi; Basidiomycota; Agaricomycetes; Agaricales; Cortinariaceae. The record is from RNAcentral.